RNAcentral lists this ribosomal RNA (467 nucleotides) under uncultured bacterium. RNAcentral's name for it is "bacterial SSU rRNA". It matches the Rfam family "Bacterial small subunit ribosomal RNA", at positions 25 to 518 of the family's 1533-position model. The record is from RNAcentral.
CAGAACGAACGCUGGCGGCAGGCCUAAAACAUGCAAGUUGAACGGCCAUAGCAAUAUGGCAGUAGCGCAAGGGUGAGUAAUGUAUGGGAACGUAUCUUUUUGGUGGGGAAUAUUCUUUGGAAACGGUCGGUAAUACCGCAUAAAAUAGCUGAACCGCAUGAUUUGGCUAUCAAAGAUUUAUCGCUUAAAGAUGAGCUCGCGUCUGAUUAGCUAGUUGGUGAGGUAACGGCCCACCAAGGCGACGAUCAGUAGCCGGACUGAGAGGUUGAACGGCCACAUUGGGACUGAGACACGGCCCAGACUCCUACGGGAGGCAGCAGUGGGGAAUAUUGCACAGUGGGCGCAAGCCUGAUGCCAGCGAUGCCGCGUGAGGGAAGAAGGUUUUCGGAUUGUAAACCUCUGUUGACAGGGACGAUAAUGACGGUACCUGUUCAGAAAGCUCCGGCUAACUACGUGCCAGCCGCUGC